AAAGUCAGAAAAACCAAAAAAAGAAAAAAAGGAAAUGGCCGAAUGCGUAUUUUUUAUGUAUAUUCACAUGUG
RNAcentral lists this non-coding RNA (72 nucleotides) under Minutocellus polymorphus. Lineage: Eukaryota; Bacillariophyta; Thalassiosirophyceae; Cymatosirales; Cymatosiraceae. The record is from RNAcentral.